Molecule: ribosomal RNA, 496 nt
Filed under: uncultured bacterium
Lineage: Bacteria
Description: partial 16S ribosomal RNA
Rfam family: Bacterial small subunit ribosomal RNA
Source: RNAcentral
GAUGAACGCUGGCGGCGUGCCUAAUACAUGCAAGUCGAGCGAACGGACGAGAAGCUUGCUUCUCUGAUGUUAGCGGCGGACGGGUGAGUAACACGUGGAUAACCUACCUAUAAGACUGGGAUAACUUCGGGAAACCGUAGCUAAUACCGGAUAAUAUUUUGAACCGCAUGGUUCAAAAGUGAAAGACGGUCUUGCUGUCACUUAUAGAUGGAUCCGCGCUGCAUUAGCGAGUUGGUAAGGUAACGGCUUACCAAGGCAACGAUGCAUAGCCGACCUGAGAGGGUGAUCGGCCACACUGGAGCUGAGACACGGUCCAGACUCCUACGGGAGGCAGCAGUAGGGAAUCUUCCGCAGUGGGCGAAAGCCUGACGGAGAAACGCCGCGUGAGUGAUGAAGGUCUUCGGAUCGUAAAACUCUGUUAUUAGGGAAGAGCAUAUGUGUAAGUAACUGUGCACAUCUUGACGGUACCUAAUCAGAAGGCCACGGCUAACUACGU